Molecule: ribosomal RNA, 592 nt
Filed under: uncultured bacterium
Lineage: Bacteria
Description: partial 16S ribosomal RNA
Source: RNAcentral
ACGGUUACCUUGUUACGACUUAGCCCCAGUCACCAGUUUUACCCUAGGGCGCUCCUUGCGGUUACGCACUUCAGGUACCCCCGGCUCCCAUGGCUUGACGGGCGGUGUGUACAAGGCCCGGGAACGUAUUCACCGCGCCGUGGCUGAUGCGCGAUUACUAGCGAAUCCAGCUUCAUGAAGUCGGGUUGCAGACUUCAAUCCGAACUGAGAGAGGUUUUUGGGAUUGGCAUCCACUUGCGUGGUAGCAGCCCUCUGUACCCCCCAUUGUAACACGUGUGUAGCCCCGGACGUAAGGGCCGUGCUGAUUUGACGUCAUCCCCACCUUCCUCACAUCUUACGAUGGCAGUCCCGACAGAGUCCUCAGCAUAACCUGUUAGUAACUAUCGGCAAGGGUUGCGCUCGUUAUGGCACUUAAGCCGACACCUCACGGCACGAGCUGACGACAACCAUGCAGCACCUUCACAACCGCUAUUGCUAGCUAUGGCGUUUCCGCCAUAUUCGGUUGCAAUUUAAGCCCGGGUAAAGUUCCUCGCGUAUCAUCGAAUUAAACCACAUGUUCCUCCGCUUGUGCGGGCCCCCGUCAAUUCCUUUG